UACAAGAUCUGCCUCUGUGCAUGCAUACGAUA
RNAcentral lists this non-coding RNA (32 nucleotides) under Rattus norvegicus (Norway rat). Lineage: Eukaryota; Metazoa; Chordata; Mammalia; Rodentia; Muridae. The record is from RNAcentral.